CACCACAACAGGUGGAGCCUGCGGUUUAAUCGGACUCAGCGCCGGGAAACUCACCAGAUAAGACAGCUGAAUGAUAGUCGGGCUGAAGACUCUACUUGACUAGCUGAGAGGAGGUGCAUGGCCGUCGUCAGUUCGUACUGUGAAGCAUCCUGUUAAGUCAGGCAACGAGCGAGACCCACGCCAACAGUUGCCAGCUCGUCCUCCGGGAUGGUGGGGACACUGUUGGGACCGCCUCUGCUAAAGAGGAGGAAGGAAUGGGCAACGGUAGGUCAGCAUGCCCCGAAUUAUCUGGGCUACACGCGGGCUACAAUGGGUGGGACAAUGGGUAUCGACACCGAAAGGUGAAGGCAAUCUCCUAAACCCAUCCGUAGUUCGGAUUGUGGGCUGCAACUCGCCCACAUGAAGCUGGAAUCUGUAGUAAUCGUGUCUCAAAAUGGCACGGUGAAUAUGUCCCUGCUCCUU
This 462-nucleotide ribosomal RNA is filed under the name uncultured Methanomicrobiales archaeon. RNAcentral describes it as "bacterial SSU rRNA". It matches the Rfam family "Archaeal small subunit ribosomal RNA", at positions 877 to 1338 of the family's 1478-position model. The record is from RNAcentral. Lineage: Archaea; Methanobacteriati; Methanobacteriota; Methanomicrobia; Methanomicrobiales.